RNAcentral lists this ribosomal RNA (253 nucleotides) under uncultured prokaryote. RNAcentral's name for it is "partial 16S ribosomal RNA". It matches the Rfam family "Bacterial small subunit ribosomal RNA", at positions 524 to 776 of the family's 1533-position model. The record is from RNAcentral.
UACGGAGGGUGCAAGCGUUAUCCGGAUUCACUGGGUUUAAAGGGUGCGUAGGUGGGUUGGUAAGUCAGUGGUGAAAUCUCCGAGCUUAACUUGGAAACUGCCAUUGAUACUAUCAGUCUUGAAUAUUGUGGAGGUCAGCGGAAUAUGUCAUGUAGCGGUGAAAUGCUUAGAUAUGACAUAGAACACCAAUUGCGAAGGCAGCUGGCUACUCAUAUAUUGGCACUGAGGCACGAAAGCGUGGGGAUCAAACAGG